CUAUCGGUCAGGCUUUAGAGAGAGGAGGAAUGCAGGCGAGCUGGACUGCUCUCCAAAACCAGAAUCAAUGGCACCACGGUGACGCGACACUUCCGGUGGGGCUUUUCAAAAUAAAGCCCCAGGUUGAGAGCAAGAGCAGAGGUGCUGCACGCAUCAAGGUCUCCUUGACGUGCAGGUAAGAUAGCUGCCGACCCCUCCUGUCCCAGACACAAAUUUUUGAGACUCUCCCCUCUGGAAGGACUCCAUCAGGACCAAAACCUCUAACCAUAAGAAGAGUUUCUCUCCUUCUGCAACUUGCCUCAUCAACAAGGCCCGUGACCUCCACUGACAGUGAUCCCCCUCCACCCUCCUUCACUUAUAUUACAUGAAUUACUAUAUACAAUAUAAAAUAAGUUUUAGUAAUCAGAUGCGCUUAUUUUGUACACUGCAAUAUCAGUAUCUACUGCGACCUUGCGCAAUCUAGGUCAAACUUUUUGUAUUACUGGACAAAUCAGGACAGUCUUCACCUACUUUAAAAAAUGGUCACACUCUAUUUAUAUUUAUAAAGUUUAAUUACA
Long non-coding RNA from Acanthopagrus latus (yellowfin seabream), 557 nucleotides. RefSeq lists it as uncharacterized. NCBI's taxonomy places the organism in Eukaryota, Metazoa, Chordata, Actinopteri, Spariformes, Sparidae. The transcript is spliced from 2 exons. The record is from RefSeq and is a predicted model, not a curated record.